CACUCCUUAGAGCAGGCACCAAAUGGAUUCUGGAAUUGGUGUUAAGUCAUGCUACGCUGACCUCUGAUGAAGGACCCCUGUUCCGGCUCUCCAACAGAGUUCCCUAAAGCCCAGUGACUGCUAUCACCCGGGAUCCCUAAGAGUUCCUCUGCAUGAACUGCUACAGACGCAAUGAGGAUAAAGACAGAAGCCUCCAGGACGCCUCCCACCAGCAGCACCUUCCCAACCCCCAGAACCCUGUCUGCUUCAUGGUCCCUUUCACAACUUCAAAGCCUCUUUCCUCCCUGUCUCCCCAAGAAAGGGCCAAUCUGAACUAAUUAGGUAAUCAGACUCAGCUGAAAAUUUAAAAGCAAAAAUGCCUAUCUGGGCACACACAAAAAAAUCUGAUACAUGUAUGUGCUGCAAAUGCAGACUCAUCAAGUUUCAGCAAGAAACUUUCCGUGUUUUUUUUAUCCCACAAAAGCCUUCUUUGUCUGCUAUUUUCUUAAAAGUCACAAAGAGAGCCUUAGAGAUCUGCAGCUUACCCUUUAAAUGGAAUGGGAAAGUAUUUCCAGACAUCAGAUUCCUCCACCUGUAAUGCAAAUUUAAUUAACACUCGGCAAGGUCUCCCCAAGUUAACCAGUUAUU
RNAcentral lists this long non-coding RNA (627 nucleotides) under Homo sapiens (human). RNAcentral's name for it is "HSALNT0029749". Lineage: Eukaryota; Metazoa; Chordata; Mammalia; Primates; Hominidae. The record is from RNAcentral.